This is a non-coding RNA of Rattus norvegicus (Norway rat), 480 nucleotides long. NCBI's taxonomy places the organism in Eukaryota, Metazoa, Chordata, Mammalia, Rodentia, Muridae. The record is from RefSeq and is a predicted model, not a curated record.
GGCAACCCUUCAGCACAGCUUGCAGCAGAUCCAGACCCUGAGCUUUAUGACCUGUGGUGAGCCUCACUCCUGCAGUGACCAACACCCAGCGCAGACAGACGGUGGAGAGGGCAGGACUGGCACACACUUGGCAGGGAACUUGGUAGCUCACCUGUGGAAGACUCGAGCAAGAACAGAACCUGCUGCAAGUCUGACUGACAGAGGUCAGUGUCUCCCCGGGCCAGCUCCAGCUCACCCUUCAGUACAAGGAACAGGGCACACCUUGUGAGGAGGGGAUGAGAGUCAGUCAACAGCCUGCUGUUUCCCUGGAGUCUCUCCUGCCCUCUCCCAGGCCCAGGCCUCCACAUGUUUUCCUGAGUCCUUAAACUGACUUACAGCCUCUCUGGUAGAAACAUUCUAUACCAGCAGCAUUUCCCAACCUUCCUAAUGCUGGGACCCUUUAAUACAGUGCCUCAUGUUAUGGGGACUCCCAGCCAUCAA